Non-coding RNA from Caenorhabditis elegans, 195 nucleotides. NCBI's taxonomy places the organism in Eukaryota, Metazoa, Nematoda, Chromadorea, Rhabditida, Rhabditidae. The record is from Ensembl.
AACAAAAAGUUCUCAAUUUCACCUUUUGAGCAUCUUACAUGAAAAUGAAGGUCAAACUUUUUUUUGUUGCUCCCGAAUGUUUGCUGAGCAAACUGCCGUUGCUUCAUCGCUUUGUCUAAUUCUACCAUAAACACAAGUCAACUGUUCAUGCCGAGAUGUGUUUUUUCGCGUCGCAAAAAAGACAACUUUAUCGUA